RNAcentral lists this ribosomal RNA (301 nucleotides) under uncultured bacterium. RNAcentral describes it as "partial 16S ribosomal RNA". It matches the Rfam family "Bacterial small subunit ribosomal RNA", at positions 509 to 807 of the family's 1533-position model. The record is from RNAcentral.
CAGCCGCCACGGUAAUACGGAGGGUCCGAGCGUUAAUCGGAAUUACUGGGCGUAAAGCGUGCGCAGGCGGUUUGUUAAGCGAGAUGUGAAAGGCCUGGGCUCAACCUAGGAAUAGCAUUUCGAACUGGCGAACUAGAGUCUUGUAGAGGGGGGUAGAAUUCCAGGUGUAGCGGUGAAAUGCGUAGAGAUCUGGAGGAAUACCGGUGGCGAAGGCGGCCCCCUGGACAAAGACUGACGCUCAUGCACGAAAGCGUGGGGAGCAAACAGGAUUAGAUACCCCGGUAGUCCCUGUCUCUUAUAC